This 477-nucleotide ribosomal RNA is filed under the name Triticum aestivum (bread wheat). Its description in RNAcentral is "partial small subunit ribosomal RNA". Lineage: Eukaryota; Viridiplantae; Streptophyta; Magnoliopsida; Poales; Poaceae. The record is from RNAcentral.
AUGGCAUCAACAGGGCACACAAGUGAUAUUAUUUGUCGUCGUUGUAAGGGAGGAGGUCAUUAUGCGAGAGAAUGCAAAUCUCCGCGUGUGAUGAUUGCUACCGCGGAUGGUGGAUAUGAGUCCGCUAGUGACUAUGAUGAGGAGACUUUGGCUCUUAUUACACGUGAAGAACAUGGUGGAGAUGAUUCUGAUCAUGAGACGCAAUACAUGGCUCCUGAAGACGCUGACAGGUAUGAAUGUUUAGUUGCUCAACGUGUUUUGAGUGUGCAGGUCACACAAGCUGAGCAAAAUCAGAGGCACAAUUUGUUCCAUACCAAGGGAGUUGUGAAAGAACGUUCUGUGCGCAUCAUCAUAGAUGGAGGGAGCUGCAACAACUUGGCUAGCGUGGAGAUGGUGGAGAAGCUUUCUCUCACCACAAGACCACAUCUGAUGAGGACAUCAAUACAAUUGUUACACCCACAGCCCCUGCUGCUAUAA